UGUACUCACCGCCCGUCACACCAUGGGAGUUGAUUUCACUCGAAGUGGAAAUACUAAACUAGUUAUCCCCCACAGUGGAAUCAGCGACUGGGGUGAAGUCGUAACAAGGUAACCGUAGGAGAACCUGCGGUUGGAUCACCUCCUUU
Molecule: ribosomal RNA, 146 nt
Filed under: Campylobacter upsaliensis
Lineage: Bacteria; Pseudomonadati; Campylobacterota; Epsilonproteobacteria; Campylobacterales; Campylobacteraceae
Description: partial 16S ribosomal RNA
Rfam family: Bacterial small subunit ribosomal RNA
Source: RNAcentral